Molecule: ribosomal RNA, 317 nt
Filed under: Anomalocardia puella
Lineage: Eukaryota; Metazoa; Mollusca; Bivalvia; Venerida; Veneridae
Description: partial 28S ribosomal RNA
Rfam family: Eukaryotic large subunit ribosomal RNA
Source: RNAcentral
AGUCUAACAUGUGCGCGAGUCAUGGGGCUCUUACGAAACCCAAAGGCGCAAUGAAAGUGAAGGUCUCCUCCGGAGUACCCAGGCAGGAUCCCGGGCCACGGUUCGGGCGCACUGCCGGCCCGUCUCGGCGGCAUUGUCCGCGAGGCGGAGCAAGAGCGCACACGUUGGGACCCGAAAGAUGGUGAACUAUGUCUGAGUAGGGCGAAGUCAGAGGAAACUCUGAUGGAGGCCCGCAGCGAUUCUGACGUGCAAAUCGAUCGUCAAACUUGGAUAUAGGGGCGAAAGACUAAUCGAACCAUCUAGUAGCUGGUUCCCUC